GGUGGCUCAGUGGUGGAGCACUUGCCUUGCAUGCAUGAAACCCUGGGUUCGGUUCCUCAGCACCA
Molecule: transfer RNA, 65 nt
Filed under: Dipodomys ordii (Ord's kangaroo rat)
Lineage: Eukaryota; Metazoa; Chordata; Mammalia; Rodentia; Heteromyidae
Rfam family: tRNA
About the family: Transfer RNA (tRNA) molecules are approximately 80 nucleotides in length.
Source: Rfam by way of RNAcentral